AUUGAACGCUGGCGGCAUGCUUACACAUGCAAGUCGGACGAGUGGCGAACGGGUGAGGAAUACAUCGGAAUGUGUCCCGUCGUGGGGGAUAGCGCGGAGUAAGCCGGUUAACACCGCAUACUAUAGGCGCGGGCGAUGGCUGAUUAGGUAGGUGGUGGGGUAAAGGCCUACCAAGCCGACGAUCUGUAGCUGGUCUGAGAGGACGACCAGCCACACUGGGACUGAGACACGGCCCAGACUCCUACGGGAGGCAGCAGUGGGGAAUUUUGGGCAAUGGGGGCAACCCUGAUGCAGCAAUGCCGCGUGUGUGAAGAAGGCUUCGGGUUGUAAAGCACUUUUGUCCGGGAAGCGGUACCGGAAGAAUAAGCACCGGCUAACUACGUGCCAGCAGCCGCGGUAAUAC
Molecule: ribosomal RNA, 403 nt
Filed under: uncultured bacterium
Lineage: Bacteria
Description: partial 16S ribosomal RNA
Rfam family: Bacterial small subunit ribosomal RNA
Source: RNAcentral